UUGCUUUAGAGCACAAACACUAGCCGUCCCUUAAUUCCCCACCGGCUCUGCUGCUCGUCGCCAGCCGGUCUCCAAACAACCCCAAAUUUACACCACAACAUUCCAUCACCCUCCUCUUUCUAAAUUCCGAAAUCCUUGCCCAUAAAUCAUUGCCAAUCUCCUCGAAUAUGGAAUUAAAACUUCGGCCAAAAACACUACUUCCUCCAAAUCAAACCAAAAUCACAUACUAUAGCCUCCUGGACCUCCUCAUCCCGAAUCCCAAACCAAAACCCUUCAAAUCCAAGUGAAACCCCGUGAAUUUCAUAUCUAGGGUUCAAAAGUUCAACUUGCUUUGGGAAGUUUCGAGUAGCCGAGUAAUUUUUAAUUAAUAUUAUAUGUCUUUUUUUGACGAAAUAGACAAAUAACAUUAACUGAAAAUCAAUUUCGAGAGUCAAUCAAGAUGAAGACCAAAAUCACUAAGGUUUUUCUUAUUUUAUUACUUCUUUUUGUUAUUGAUUCUAUUUUUGUGAUUUUUUUAUUUUAGUUUAACCUUUGUUUUGAAUCUGUUUGAUAUGUGUUUUGGUUUCAAUUUAGUGUUUGUUGCUAUUAGUAUAGUCUUUAAUUCUUUAUUAUUUGCUUUAGUCAAUCCCGUUUAGGCAUCGUUUGAUUUUAAUUUUUCAGUGUUUGAUUUAAUUCCUUAUUAUUGCUAUUAGUUAGUUUUUAAUUAGCUUAGUUUGUUUAGAUACAGCUGAAACAGAUUUGUUGGUUUAACUAGAGUCAAAGUCUGACUAGGGUAAAAGGCUCGCUAGACUUAAUAAUUUCAGGGGAAGUCAGGGGUAGUUUAGGUAUUCAUGAUUGUGUAGGAAUGUUGUAGUUGAAGCUAGAACCUUCUAUAAUCUUCUACACUAGGACUGUAAUUGAAAUAUCCUUAAUUUAGGGUAGUAACUUGAGCAACAAGCUAACAAAUAAGGGAUUAAUUAACUAAAAGCUGAAAAUAAAAGAGGAACUAAAGGGUAAAAUAAAAAUCUUAGGGUUGCCCUUAGUUUUGCCUAUAUAAAAACAGUCUCUAAUACCUUAAUGGAGAAGUUCUGGCAUUUGAAACNNNNNNNNNNNNNNNNNNNNNNNNNNNNNNNNNNNNNNNNNNNNNNNNNNNNNNNNNNNNNNNNNNNNNNNNNNNNNNNNNNNNNNNNNNNNNNNNNNNNNNNNNNNNNNNNNNNNNNNNNNNNNNNNNNNNNNNNNNNNNNNNNNNNNNNNNNNNNNNNNNNNNNNNNNNNNNNNNNNNNNNNNNNNNNNNNNNNNNNNNNNNNNNNNNNNNNNNNNNNNNNNNNNNNNNNNNNNNNNNNNNNNNNNNNNNNNNNNNNNNNNNNNNNNNNNNNNNNNNNNNNNNNNNNNNNNNNNNNNNNNNNNNNNNNNNNNNNNNNNNNNNNNNNNNNNNNNNNNNNNNNNNNNNNNNNNNNNNNNNNNNNNNNNNNNNNNNNNNNNNNNNNNNNNNNNNNNNNNNNNNNNNNNNNNNNNNNNNNNNNNNNNNNNNNNNNNNNNNNNNNNNNNNNNNNNNNNNCCCCCCUCACAAGUGUUCUACAAGUUUAACAAUCUGAAAAAUUGAAUUUCAAAAGUUCAAAUCAGCCUUAUGGGUUUUAGAGAGAAAAAUAGUGCAAAGUUCUGACUCACAUCCAAAAAUUACUGAAAAUCACUGGAAAAAAAAAUCCAAAAACUUUCUACUAGGGAAGAGAUUAGUUUGAAUACAAAUCAUUAGUUCCUAGAAACCAAAAAAUCCCAAAAAUCAACAAAAAGCACAGUAUAGAAAGCACUUCCAGAUCUGCUGCUUAUUCAAAUUGCACCGUUUCAUCAAGUUUGAUCUUCAAAUUCAACUGAUUAUUAGUUGUUGGAAGUUGCUUUGGAGUCUACUGCAUUGUACUUGGUUUUCCCUGGGUUUAAACUUGGAAUCUGUUGAGAAUUGUUGAUAUUGCACAUGCUGUUGCGUUUUUGCUUGGCUGACCUCUGUUUCUCAACAUUUUGUUUCAAUUUUCACGUACAAGUUCUAAACCAUGGUGAUGUAGUAUCUGAUUUGAGAAUUUGAAAUAGAAAUCCUAUAACUCUUUGCCUGAUGUUUCUGUUAUCCGCAUUUAUUCAACUUAACUAUUUUCUUAAUUGUAGUUUUGAUUAGUUUCAGUUUUGGAUAUUAUGUCGAUUUGAAGUUUAAAAAAAGACUAAGUGUUAAUUAGAAGUAGAAUUUUAAAAUGAGCUUGUGUAUCUACAUUGAUAUUAUGAGUAUUAAGUUUGUGCUUCAGCUUCAAUAGGGAUUUUAAGUUUACAAUUGAACAAGUAUGUUAGUAGCUUUGCUUAUGUGAUGUUCCACAAUAAAUUUUGAUUACGUUAGUGGCAUCAUUAGCUUCUCCACAUAUUUGUAGAACUUUGUCGAUCUGAGAGUGAUUAGAACUUAAAAUCUGGAAUUAAUUUGGCAAUUACCGACUUGAACAAAUAUGCAAUCUUCCUAUUUGAUGGAUUUAAUUUUAGAAAUGGGAACAGUGGCUUUGAGAGCCUGACUGUCCCUUGUACCAGCCAGUAGGCCCAGUUUAAAAUGUGGUAUUGCUGUAUGGGCUUUCUGUUUGGUUAAGGCUCUACAACCUACUCGAAUUAGUUGGGCCUUGAUCCCACUAUCGCAUGGCCCAAUCCCCAUUCUGGACUGCCUUCUAGUUUGGGUUAGUGUCGAGGCCAAGGCGGAUAGCAGUCUACAAAAUGAAUUGAUAUUACUGUUAUUUUGUUGGGACAAGUUCAAAAUUUCAAUGUUGAAAGCCUGAAGGCGUAUUCAAUCUGAGAUUAAUUUUGUAACAUCGGAUUUUGGGCAUUUUAAGCAAUCAGGCCUUUAGAGACAACCCAAUAGGAAAUAAUAGUUCGAUUUAGAAUAUCCUUAAAUAAAAAUAAGAUGCGCCGCACCAAACAAAAUUCAUAAAAUAGUGUGGGACUCCUAAUUGUUUUUUAUAAAAAAAAAUAUUUAGACCUAGGGACACGCCAUUUAGCGAAUUUCAUACCUUCCCACAAAGUUAAUAAUACGCUAGUUGCUUUAGGCCAGUCUUUUCAUAAAUUACCUUCCUAAACUCGGGUGCAUAUUUAUAUGACCCAAAUCCAAAUCCCAACGAAGUUGAAAUGUAUCAAAAAUCACACCCGGGGUGCUUUUAUGUGACGUGGUUCGAGACAUGUUUUAACGACAUUGCAAUUCUCUUCAAAUAUCAUAAUAAAAGCGGUUUAAAGUUAAAAGCACAUAGGUUAAAACAUGUUUUAAAAAGCCAAAUGUAACAGUUGAGAGAUCGUGCUAGAACCACGGGACCCGGAAUGCCUAACACCUUCUCCCGGGUUAACAGAAUUCCUUACUCGAAUUUUUGGUUUGCAGAUUGUUAAAUAGAGUCAAUAAUUUCCUCGAUUCGGAAUUCAACCGGUGACUUGGGACACCAUUAAUCUCCUUAGUGACUACUUUGAAUUUUUAACAAUAAAUCCUAUUUCGAUUGUCUUUUAGUUGAAAAAUUCCUUUACACCCUUAUGGGGUGUAGGGAAAAAGAGGUGUGACAAGAGGGUCGCAUGGGUGGACUAGUUCACGGUCUUCAGAGGGAUGAGUGGGUGGAGAUGUUGAGUUUGUUGGGGUUGGAGUAGAUGAGUCCCGUGGUGGGGCAUGAAAUGGGCAUGCUUUGGUAUUAUGGCCAAAGCACCCACAGCGGAUGCAAAGGAUAUUUAAUCCUUCAUAUAGAACAACUUGCUUGUGAUUACCAAUGUAGAUAUGGGUUUUCAAAGGUUUUUCAAGUGGAAUUUCAAUAUAAAUACGAGCAUAUCUAUCACAUGGAGUAGACGAAGUACAAGCAUCUACUUUAAGUAGAUUGCCUAGUUUGUUUCCACCUAACUGUAAUAGCGAGAGAUCAUAGUAUUCCGAAGGUAAUUCAGGAAGUCUAUCCCAAAUGGCGGAGUACGCGAGUUGGGCAGUGGGCGCUACGAAUUUUGGUCCCUGACGACGCACAAUAAGAAAAUGGCCCAAGAUAAACCAUGGCCCGUCAUGCAGCGCAUAAAGCAUAUUAUUCUCCUGGAUGAAUUUAAUGAGGAAAAAAGCAUGGCCAAGAUUAAAAAGAUUGAGAGGUUGGGAGGGUCUCCAAAGAGUUUGGAGUUUGGAUUUGAGCAUUUGGUGCCCAAUGAAUUUACCAAAUAAUUUGAUGAUAAUGGAGUUUUUCCCAGGGAUUUACAUAAGAAGGAACUUUGUGGUGAGAAUUCUGUAGCGUCCUCAACUUGCAUUGCAGAGUGAUCUGGUGGGUCUAUUGUGGUCAUGGCAUCAUUGAUUGUGAGGGUAGUGAUGGGAGAAUGUCUUGAUCGAAGGAAACAGAUGAAGGUCUGUAGGAAAGGAAAUUGGGGGAGAAAAUUGAGAGCAUUUCAAAGUAGGGAAAUGAGCUCUACACUGUUCUCGAAACAGUAGGAUUGUAAAAUGAAUUAGCACCUUCUAUUGAUAAACUUUAGGUCAUAUCCUUAAGUUCAUGAGUGAAGUAUACAUAUUAAGGAUAAAGUGUCCUGAAUUAGCACUCUCUAUAGAUAAACUUUAGGACAUCAUAUCCUUAACUUCAUGUGUGUAGUAAAUAUUAAGGACAAAGUGUCUUGAAUUAACACAUUCUAUUGAUUUUAAAAAAUAAAUGCCUUGUAAAUUAUCAAACUUCAUGAUAAAUUACAUAACAAUAUUUGAAAGCUCAAGGGAGUAUAUUUUGCUACUAAUUUUUUGAGUGCACAAUUUGUAUGAAUUUUUUCUCACAUCAUUAUCCUCAAUAUAAAUAUCAAUUUUUCCCCAGAAAAUUAAAAAUAAUAUCAAAGUUAUAAAGCUCAACAUUCUAGAUAGUUGGUCCUCAAUUCGUAAUUAGUUGCUUAUAAGUUCAGGAUAGUUAGUCCAAAUCUUAAAGUUAGAAGCUCAAAAAUUUAAGACACUUAGUCCUGAACUUAAAGUUAGAACGUUAAAAGUUUAAAUAUUAGGGACAUUUAGUCCUCGAUUCCUAAUUAGCAGCUUAUAAGUUUAGGACAAUCAGUCCUGAACUUAAAGUUAGAAGCUCAAAAAUUUAGGACACUUAGUCCUUAACUUAAAGUCAGAAGGUUAAAAGCUCAAAAAUUCAGGACACUUACUCUUGAAUUUAAAAUUAUGAAGCUCAUAAAUUCAGUCCUUAAUACCUAAUUAGAAGUAGAAAGUUCAAGACACUAAUGUAAGCAAAAGUAACAAUUUAGAAAUAGUGAAUACUUUUAGGGACUUACACUUUUUUGCGAGCUUUCCUUUUCUCCUUGCCCAACCACACAAUAAAUUUCUUUAAUAAGUUUUCAUCAUCUUGGCAUAAUGAAAAAUACAUUUACGAGUAUAUUUUGAUUUUAUCCAGCAUGUAUACUCGGCAGUAUUCUUAUUGUGCACCAUCAAUGUUCCCCUUUUGUUUGCAAUUGCAAACUAAGCUUCUUAUUUCUUUUCCAUCUACCAAGCUCUUCUUUAGCAUUUCUUUCAACAUCCAUGGACCAACCUUCAUUAACACUCCCUUGUGUAGUCAAAGGAGUAGGAGUAAGAAUGGCAGAUGAUGGACCAUCAAAACUAAUAUUAUCUUUCUUUCUUUUACUAGUGUAUUGGUUAAUAACUGCAUUUUUGUUUUGCUCUGCAAGCAAAACUGUAUAUAUUAGUUUGGAUACAAGACCUCAAUCCAAGACAUAUUGUCCAAUGAAGAAGUAAAAGUCAAGACAUAUUUAUAGAAAUAUUCUGACAAUUUGAAGUAUGAAUCUAAAAUUCAGGAAAUAUUUUUCUAAAAUGUCCUUACAUUUUGGAAUUUGAACAGAAGAAAUUAAAAUUCAGGACAUAAGAUUCUGAAGUUCAAGCUAAUCUAAUUAUUAAAAAAAAAAGAAUUUAAUACAUGUGUUGUCAUUCCUAUCUUCUUCUAUUUCUUUAAGAAAGAAUAGUGCCGAGAUAUUAUUUAUGCUUGUUCCAACCAUUACAUUUUCUUUAUCUUGAAAUUGUGCUCCAUUUUCUUAAAUUGCAACUUCACAAGAUUUUGCAACAUUUAUAAGAGCAAACAUAAUUAGUACUUGUUAGUAAUUCCCGACUAAAGCAAACAUGUAUAAGAUCAACAAAAAUCCAUCUAACCUUUCGCAACUAUCAAGAUCAAGCCAAUUAAAUUAUUAUAAAUAUCAUUAUCUUGACUAGCAUCAUUUUGACCUCCAAAAUUGGCUCUAAGAUAAAGGGGUAUAGAGAUAUCAUAUGUUUCUUCCACACAUUUUCAAACAAUCUCACUUCUGCCAGAUCCUAAGGGAUUUUCUAUGUCAUGAGAUUGCCCUCCACUUGUAUCUUUUGAAUUUUCCUUAUCUUGAUGUUCUCCUAUAUCUUUAUUUCUAUAAUUUUACUCUACCAGUAAAAUUACAUAUACAAUAGUUUGGCUGUAACACCUCAAUUCCUCGACACGUUGUCUUAUGAAGAAAUUAAACGUCAGGACAUAUUUUUUGAAAUGUCCUAAUAAUUUAUAGUAUGAGUCUGUAAUGACCCGAUCGGUCGUUUUGAGCAAUUGCACUUUAGUCGUCAGUUUUCGGGCAUAACUAGCCAUGUAUGAUGUAUUAUGACUUAUGUCGGUUUUGAUUUUCAGGAUAAUCAGAAUAGAUUUGGAAGAACAAUUCUCAACUUAAAGCAUUAAAUUUGAAAGGUUUGACCAAGUUUUGAAUUUUAGUAUUCGAUCUCGGAUUAGAUUUUCAUGAUUUGGUUAGCUCCAUUAGGUUAUUUUGGUCUUGGGAGCGCAUUCGAAAUGCGAACUGGAGGUUCGUAGUAGAUUUAGGCUUGAAUUGGCGAAAUUAAAAAUAUAGAGUUUUCGGUCGGAAGUGAAAAUUUUAAUAUCGAGGUCGGAAUAGAAUUUCGAAAGUUGGAGUAAGUUCGUAGUGUUAUUUGUAAAGUGUGUGGAAAAUUUCAGGUCAUUCGGAGAUGAUUUGAUAGAGUUAUGCGUCGUUUAUGAAAUUUGAAAGUUCAUAAGUUCUUAGGCUUGAAUGCGAGAUUGAUUUGGUAAUUUGAGUGAUUCAAAGACUUGACUAAGUUUGAAUGAAGUUAUGAGAUGUUUUGGCAUAUUUGGUUGAGGUCCCGAGGGCCUCGAGUGUAUUUUGGAUGCCUAACGGGACAAUUUUGGACUUGAGGAGUAGUAGUUUUGCUGGUAUUUUGUUGCAGACGUUUUCUUCUUCGCGAUCGCAUAGAUGCGUUUGCGAUCGCUUAGGCUUAGCCAGAGGUGAGAUUUGUUCUAUAUGAUCGUAGACUUUAGGAUGCAAUUACGAAUGGAUGUGAUAUUGUGUUUCACGAACGCGUGGCCAGGGUCACAUUCGCGUAGAAAAGAGUGGGCCGGUGAGAAGUGGAGGGGAUUGUUCCAUGUGAUCGCGUGGGAAAAGCCGCGAUUGCGUACGUUUGCAAAGCAGUGCUUCGCGAUCGCGUAAGGUAAGUUGAGGAGCAGUUCAUUUUUGUACUUCAUGAUCACGAGGUAAAUUUUGCGAUCGCGAUAAAGGAAAAACACCUAGGCAGAAAGUAUAAAAAGGCCAUCUUCGUGAUUUUUAGCUCAUUUCUCACCAUUUUUGGACAGCUUUGAAGCUUUUUGAGAGAAAUUGAAGAGGGACUCGAGGGGAAACACUUGGAGGUAAGAUUUUUGAAUUCAAUACUCAAUUCUAUGGAAAUUUCUUGCUGAUUAGCUAUGAAAUUAGUGGGAUUGAAGGGUUAAAAUUGAGGGACUAGGGCUUGAAUCGGAGAGUUUAAAUUGGAGAUUUGAGGGGUCAUUUGAGGUCUGAUUUUGAUGUUCUUGGUAUGUAUAGACUUGUGGGAGGAUGCGGAUUCUAUUGAUAUGAUUAUUAUCAGAUUUCGAGACGUGGGCCCGGGGGUCGGGUUUGGCCCAUUUUGGAAUUUUUGGGUUAAUUUGAUUAUUUUUGCUUAGGCUUUGUUCCUUUAGCAUAUAUUGAUGAUAAUAUACUGAUUUUAGUUAGAUUCGGAGCAUUUGGAGGCCGAAUCGAGAGGAAAAUGCAUCGUAGGUUAGAGUUUGGACUGGUUGAGGUAAGUAAUGAUUGUAAAUGUUGUCCCGAGGGUAUGAAACCCUGGAAUUUCACUUUGUUUCACUACUUUGAGGUGACGCACACGCUAAACGACGAGCGUGGGAUCAUGCGACGUUGGGAAUUGUGACUUGGUCCGUCUCGUACGACUAUUAUGCCACAUAAUUGAUUGAAAACUGUUUGGUAUUAUUGUGUUUUGGAAAAUAUUACUAUGCUUUGGACGGAUGCCGUAUUUGGGCCUCGUGCCAACUGUUUGGACUCUUUGGGGCUUUCUUUACUGAAAUUCCUUACUGUUUUGAUUUAAUAACUGUACACUCAGUCUAUGUUUUACUGAUUUCAUAACUCAGUCUUAUUAACUCCGUUUUGAUACUUUAAAUGAUAUUUCGACUGACCAUCAUGUUUUACUGUAGCCCGAGUGGCUUGAAAGGUUUAUGACUGAGUGAGACCGAGGUCUUGUGUUGUGAGGAUAUCAUAGGAUCGGGUUGCGCGCCACGACAUAUUAUACUGAUUUGUGAUAUAUGAUAGGCCGAGGGCCUGAUUGACUAUGCCACGAGAUGGCUUGUUAUAGCGCUUGGGUUGUAGGAUCCCUAUGGAGUCUGAACACCCCAGUGAGCGUGGGUACCCAGUGUGAGUGAAGUGUAGCCCGAGGGCCUUUUAUUGAUUUAUGUUGUGCCCGAGGGUUGAUUACAACUGAUUGUGAGAAGCCCGGGGGGCUGGUUCUUUUGAUAUUUUGCCCAAGAGGUGGCUUAUGAUUCAUUAUGCCCGAGGGGCAUUAUACGAGUGAGUUUUUCCCGAGGGGCUGACUAUGUUUUCAUUAUUUCUACUCACUGUUUCAUCACUUGUUUAAAAAUCGCUUAAAGAUGUUUUAAAAAGAUUUUACACAUCUUCAAAUGAUUUCUACCUCAAAUUAGAGUUCUAAUGAAAUAAUUUGAUUUAUAUACUAUUUUGGAGACAGAAUGUACUUACUAUGGUAUUAUGACGUGGAUUAUAUGUUUUCUUACUACUCAGUCUUUAUUUACUCUCAUUACUCAUUGUAUUGGCGUACUCACAUUACUCCCUACACCUAGUGUGUAGAUUGAGGAGUUGCGGAUCGCGUGAUAGUGAGAUUUGAUUAUUCAUUCAGCAGGUAUCAGAAUCUAGGGGUGUGCAUUCGAUUUAUCGAUUCGAUUUUGACCCUUAUCGAUAAUUAUUUAUCGAUUAUAAAUUUGAACAUAUGCUUAUCGUUAUCGUUUCAAUAAGGUUUUGAUGUUUUUCGAUUUCGAUUUAUCGAUUUUUGAGGCUUAUCGAUUCGGUUAUCGAUUACACCAAUAANNNNNNNNNNNNNNNNNNNNNNNNNNNNNNNNNNNNNNNNNNNNNNNNNNNNNNNNNNNNNNNNNNNNNNNNNNNNNNNNNNNNNNNNNNNNNNNNNNNNNNNNNNNNNNNNNNNNNNNNNACUAAUAUGGACAAAAAGAAGCUAAAAUAAGAAGAGCAUCGUUUAUAACAUAAAUAUUGUGUCAACAAGCACAUGAAACGAAAUUAAAGUAAGGGAUCAAUGUAUGCCACCAACACUGCAACGGUAUAAAAAAUAAAAUAUAUCAUCACAGCUAAUUUUAUUUUCCAUUAAUUUGAACUUUAUUCACUUGAGCUUUAAAUAUGAUCAUUUCUUAAAUGUGGUAGAGGAAAUAAUAGCGCUAGGGACUUAGGGUAAAGGAAAUGGUAUUAUAAAAUAAGGGUAAAAUUUCUUCUUUUUUUUUAAAAUAAAAAAAUAGUGUAUGUUAUCGGUUUAUCGAUAAACCGAUAAACCGAAAAGGACAGAAUCGAAAUCGAAAUUGAUAACUCGAUAAGGAUAAUUUUGAAAUCGAUAAAUCGAUAACAAAUAAUCGAUUCGAUUUAUCGAUAAACCGAUUCGAAUGUACACUCCUAUCAGAGUAGACAAGGUAGCUGCAUGACAUUCGCAUCCAUGUCCUUCUCCAUUAUAUUUUCCAUAGAUUUAUUUAGUAUGAUCUUCCAAUCUUGUUUAUACUUUAUUGUACUGAGACAAAGUUAUGUUGUUUGUGACUUGUGACACCCCAAUAUCGGGCUUGUGUAUUUAUUCCGCACUAAUUAUCUAGGCUUAUUUUAUGAGAUUUCUUGUUAAUUAAUAGCUUAAAAAUGACUAUUAUAGAAUAAUGGUUUGAUUUGAGAAUUGUGUCGGCUGACCUAGUUUCACGAUAGGUGUCAUCACGAUCGGGUCGGUUUUAGGAUCGUGACAAGUUGGUAUCAAAGCCUAGGUUACAUAGGUCUCACGAUUCAUUAGCAGGUUUAGUAGAGUCUCGCGGAUUGGUACAGAGACAUCUGUACUUAUCUUCGAGAGACUGUGGAACCUUUAGGAAAUCCCACAUUCUUGAAUUCUUAUCGUGCGAGAUUGAUUCAGCUUGAAAUGUAACUCUUUGAAUUCAUUCCACGUGUUUGUAUGCGCGCAUGAGCGCUUGGUAUCAGCUAUGCAUCGAUGACUUGUGUUUCUAUGAUCUAAGGACGAUGUUACACCCCAGAAUAUUAUGUUAGUAUUACGUUCCACAGUAUUAUAUUACGAUAAUAUUAUGCUCUGCAGUAAUAUUUUACGAUGGUGUUACGCACUGCAGUAAUAUAUUAUGAUAAUAUUACGUCCUGCAGCAUUAAGUUCCAGUAUUACAUUACGGAGAUGUUAUACUGCAGUUACGAUAGUGUUGCACCCUGCAGUAUUUUAUGUUGAAUUUGUCGUAAGGUAAUUGACAUCAGUCCAAGAAAAAAAUUAUCCGGGGAUUAUAAAGAUUAUGAUAUUUCACAAGUGAUUAGUAAAUUCAUGAAGGUGAAAGGGGGAUCAAGUUUAAGAAAAUAAAUUUUGUCAAAGUUUGACAUUUUGGGAUAAAAUACAACCCGAGCUAAAAUACCCAUUAUUUAUGAAUUAGCGCCAUACAAGGUACUAAGGUAUAUAAGGUAUGUUAAACGUGAUUAAUAUUUCAAGUAAAUGAAAAUAAUUUUCAAUUUUUCAGGCAAUUACUUAAUUACCGGAUAACAGGAUAUUACCUAAUUAAUUGAAAAUAUAUUUGGAUAAGACUAAUUCCACCCCUAUAACGUGGCAGCCACACAAGGAUUAAUUAAGGGACUAACCAUUUUGGUUGAAAGGUGGCAAGACUUACGACUAGCUUUAGGUUCUUUCAUUCUUAAGAAACAAGCCUAGCUUUACAAAUAUGUAGAAAAAUGAAAGAGAAAGAUAGUGACUAGAGAGGACGAAGAAACUUGGUCUAUUGAAUUUACCCAACAACAGCAGGAAAUGACUUGAACUAUUAAGUCUCUUAUAUUUAGCUAGAAAAAAUUAUUUAAAUUAGAAUUUGGUAAAAAGUUCUGUUAGUGAAGUUAUGUUUUGAAAAAGAAAAGUUUAUGAAAGUAGAAAAUCAAUGGGCGGGUGUAGAUUUUGAAACUUCAAACUAAAGUUCAACUUGAAAGUUUCUUUCAAAGUUCAAGUUUAGAUUUUGUUCCCAAUUUCACAAACACCAACUUGCAACGUGAAACAUCUAUAUGUGCAAGUGAACUCACAAAUGCCACCUUGGUGCUUUGAUACGUGACAAAACAGAAAAGGAGCUGUUGAUGCUUAUAAUAUGAGUUUUUCGUUAUAGGUUUUUGUCAAGAGAAUCAGUUCAGGUAUAUUAAGGCUAUCUUUGUUUUUUUUGGUAUGAUUCAUAUGAUACGAAUGAAAUGUGUAAAUGCACAAAUUUCAUGAAUGACGCUAUUUAUAGUAUUAGAGAUAUCUAUGUUCUUGAAUUUCCGCGUAUCAUAAUAUUUUAUUGUAUGUUCAUGGAUCUAAAAAAAUACGAAAGUUGAAAAGAAUUUACUUUAUGAUAUACUCAAAGGAAAAAUGGCCUUAUGAAGCUCCGAAAUUUUUAUUAAUGUUCUUUUCAUGCAUUGCAUUCAUGUGCAUUGAUCCACGACCAGAUGGCAUUAUAUACGCGUACAUAUACAUAUAUAUAUAUAUAUAUAUAUAUGUGUGUGUGUGUGUGUGUGUGUGUGUGUGUGUGAUAUGGAAAAAGUUACAGCGUUAUACACGCACCACCACCUGAUCAGCUGGUAUAUAAUAAUGAUGUUGCCCACAGUGGCUAAAAUAUAAUUCAAACGGCGCUAUAUAUGCGUAUAUAUGUAUAUAUAUAUAUAUAUAGCAUUUGGAGGCCGAAUCGAGAGGAAAAUGCAUCGUAGGUUAGAGUUUGGACUGGUUGAGGUAAGUAAUGAUUGUAAAUGUUGUCCCGAGGGUAUGAAACCCUGGAAUUUCACUUUGUUUCACUACUUUGAGGUGACGCACACGCUAAACGACGAGCGUGGGAUCAUGCGACGUUGGGAAUUGUGACUUGGUCCGUCUCGUACGACUAUUAUGCCACAUAAUUGAUUGAAAACUGUUUGGUAUUAUUGUGUUUUGGAAAAUAUUACUAUGCUUUGGACGGAUGCCGUAUUUGGGCCUCGUGCCAACUGUUUGGACUCUUUGGGGCUUUCUUUACUGAAAUUCCUUACUGUUUUGAUUUAAUAACUGUACACUCAGUCUAUGUUUUACUGAUUUCAUAACUCAGUCUUAUUAACUCCGUUUUGAUACUUUAAAUGAUAUUUCGACUGACCAUCAUGUUUUACUGUAGCCCGAGUGGCUUGAAAGGUUUAUGACUGAGUGAGACCGAGGUCUUGUGUUGUGAGGAUAUCAUAGGAUCGGGUUGCGCGCCACGACAUAUUAUACUGAUUUGUGAUAUAUGAUAGGCCGAGGGCCUGAUUGACUAUGCCACGAGAUGGCUUGUUAUAGCGCUUGGGUUGUAGGAUCCCUAUGGAGUCUGAACACCCCAGUGAGCGUGGGUACCCAGUGUGAGUGAAGUGUAGCCCGAGGGCCUUUUAUUGAUUUAUACGAUGAUGUUUUGCCCACAGUGGUCGAUAUGAUAUAAUGGGAUACCCCCAGAGGCCGACAAUGUUAUGAAUCAUGUAUCCAUGCACGACAUGACAUUCAUUAGCAUACACAUGAUGCUAAAAGCAUUUUAUGAUUUACAAAGUUAUUCAGACUUAUAGGUUGAGUCAUGUACUCUAUAUGUCUUCUAUAUCUCUUAUGUAUUUAUUUAUGUACCUUACAUACUCGAUACAUUAUUCGUACUGACAUCCCAUUCACCUGGGAACGCUGCGUUUCAUGCCCGCAGGUCCUGAUAGACAGGUCGAGAGCCCUACAAGUAGGCUAUUAGCUCAGUGAAAGAUGUUGGUGUGCUUCAUUUGCUUCAGAGUUUCUCGUCUGGUUAGUGAGAUUUAGACGUGUAUUGUUUGGUAUGGCGGGAUUUUGUCCCGACCUUUAUGAUAUUUAUGUAUUCUUAGAGGUAGAUAUAUAUCGUGUACGUAAAAAGUUGUACGGCCUAUUAGACCCGUAUGUCAUGUCUGUAUGAUGAUGUAAUAAGAAAGAUAUGUUAUGUUAGUAUUCGGUUGAGUAAGGUACCCGGUGCCUAUUGCAGCCUAUCGGUUUGGGUCGUGACAAGCGAAAUGUGAUUUUUAUGUGUUAAUGUUGGGCCAGUCUGGAGGAUGUAAAGCCGGGCUCUGCUUGUAGCUUGAGCACUGAGGUGUUGAUUGUGUGAGCACGUGCUUCUGGAAUUAUAUGUUUGGUAGUGUCCUUAUUAGUGGAAGUGUUCAUAUGAUUUGAAUGUGAUGAGAAGGGUCUACUUGAGGGUAGAAAGAAAUAUCUGAUGCUUGAUUUCUAUCUUGAUUUGAUGUAUAGCCCCGAGUUAUGAGUGUGUGAAGGAUCUUUUCAUGAUGUUUAGUUGGGAAGUAAAGUAGAAUAUAUGUCGGGAUGUGAGUUCAGACUCAGGAAGAUUAAGUGAUUGCGUGAUGUUUAUGACGGUGGAAGGGUAUGAAGAGAUAUCAGUUUGAGGCAAAACAGAUGAGUUAUCUCCUGUGGGGUGUUCUGAGGUUUGUGUGAUACCUCUGUUGUUGGUUGGAAGUCCUCUUUACCAGUGAAAUAUGUGUGUUGUUGCAAUUUGAGCUUGGGUCGCUUAUGAGAGUGAGAUUGCUUGUUACGAGGAUGAAUGUGGGAUUUACAGAUGAUGUAAAGUACUAUAUGGUUUGUGUUGCACGAGCUUAUGAAGGAUUUAGUUUAAUCUCAUCAUGGUAUUAUGGCAGUAGUAGAAUAUGAGCAUUGUGAGUUCUGUCUAUUUUGACCUAUGGCUUUGAGCCAACUAGGGGAGUCCGCUAUUGAUUAGUUGAUGGGACGGUUAUGUGUUGUAUUUGUCUCAGUUUGAGGUAUACUAGUGAAUCGGUUGUGGCUUGCUGGGGUUGAGAUCAAGGAUGACUCGAGUAAAGAAAAUUUUAGUAAAGGUUAUGUUAUGCUUUAUGGGUGUACGAGAGUCACGGAAUGACUUAAGUUGUUAUUGGUGAAGGAUGUACAGUGCAUAGAACAUGAAUUUAUUUGGUUGCAUUAAGGUGAGGUUACUCCCACAGGUGUUUUUGUUCUAAUGGGGCAUAGAUCGUUCGGUUCAUUUGAUCAUUCUAGAUUUACAUUAUUAAAUGGAGAUCUUCAGGAUGUAUAUUUGGAUAGGAACGGGGUUUUACAUUGGAGGGUGUCAAGAAUUGUGGCAUUUCUACAUCGAUUAUGGGAUUCUCCAUAUCUGUAUCAGGAAGGUGAAGAUAAUGGCUUUAGAUUCGCAUGAUCCGGGUAAGUAUUUUUGAUGUGGUGCUUUUGGGGAUAGGGAAGAGGUAUUUGGUGGUAUAUGAGCCUUAGGGCAGUGUGGUUUUAUGCUAAAGUUCAUGGGGAAAGUUUUAGUUAAGGAUAGUGGUGUACUAACAAGGAAACGUAUCAAUUUGAAGGUAAUUCUGAAGGAAAUCAGAGAAUUAGGAUAGCUUGGUAGUAGGUUGGAUCGACAUGGUAAUGGAAUGGUCUUGGAUCCUUAUGAUGCAGUGGGUUUCUAUAGGUGUUUCGUGGAAAUGCUCUUAGGUUAAUCGUUUGCGUAGCUUGGUUGAGUUAGAAGGAGUCAAUCCUGAUGGUUUGGUUUUGUGUAAAAGAGAUUCGGAGAGUUCUUGAUGAUUUCUACACAGAUGGAGGUGUACAUAUUCUACUAGCCUGAGGAGCAUGGGAUGUAUAGUGAUUUUAUCCUACAUAGGAUCAAAUGGAAAAGUUCUUAGCUGGUUGAGUACGUAGUUGCUUGUAGCUCAGAGUGUAUUAUGAACUACUCAUAUUUAUCAUAGGAUGGUAUGGCAUAUGUGGUAUGUUGUGUGGGGUUGAGAUUUGCAUAUGUAAGGCCACGAUUCAACUUUGAAAGGAAGUUCAUAAAUUCUUAGGCAGUAUGGACGGUUUCAGAUGACCAGAUAAAUGAGGUCACUGAUUGGUGUGGCUUGAUGAUGGUAUACAUCUUCAGAAAGAGCAAUGUGUUUGAGUUAAGGAUACUUCAUUAGUAUUGUGGCACUCUCUUGAUGGAUCUACUGUUGAUAUUCAAGUUUGCUUGGUAGGACAAAAGAAUUAUAGAAGUAUCCUUCAUGGAAGAAUCGAUUAUCAGAUGUGUCUUAGAUGUUUAGCAGUGGAGUCGGGAUCAAAUAUGGUGAUUCGUGUGCCUUAUGGAUUUGGAGACCGAGAGUUCUCAUAGACAUUUUAUGUUGUGGUUGUGGACUGCGUAUAUCGGUCUUGUGUGGUGACUAUUGUAGGUUUCGAGACUCGAGUGGAUAUUUUGUUGCUUAGUAUGGUGGAUUUUGAUGUGAUAUUGGGUAUAGAUUAGUGGUCUCCGUGUCAUCCUAUUCAAUACUGUUGCGCUAAGACGGUGACGUUGGCUAUUCCGAGGAUGCCACAGAUUGAGUGGCGAGGUUCGACGGGUUAUGUUCACAGUAGAGUGAUUUUUUUUUAAGACUCAGCUGAUGGUUGAGAAGGGUUGUAUUUCUUAUGUGGCCUUCGUAAGGGAUGUCAGUGUAAAGACUCCUACCAUUGAUUCAGUUCCGCGGGUGAGUUAUUUUUUGGAUAUGUUUCCUGCAGACCUGCCGGGCAUGCCGCCGGACAGGGUUAUUGAUUUAGAUAUUGAUUUGGUACCGGGCACUCAGCCUGUUUCUAUUCCAUCGUAUCAUGCAACACCGACUGAGUUGAAUGAGAAAAUUUAGGAAUUCCUUGAUAAGGCGUUCAUUGGUAGGCCAAUACGGAUGUGUGUUCUCCAUCAAGUCGGCUUUGUUAAAUUCGAGUUGUUAUUGUUGAGAGAUGUUCCAUUUGAUUAUUGUUGAGUUCAUUCGUGUUCUAGAGUGAUAUGUAAGUUACCUUUCCGUGUUGCAAGGCGUUAUGAUUUGUUGGUUAUAGACACAUAUGGUACGGUCCUAUUAGGGUCUAAUAUUGGAAUUCGAGCGGGAAGAGUAUUGGGUAUUUCUCGGUGGAUGGCAUAUUGGUUAUGUCCUUUUGGGUUCGUGUGGUGUUUUUGCAUUUGUUUCGCCAUGAUUAUGAUGAUCUGCUUUUAGUACUAGACAUCAAAUUGCGUGUGGUUGUUGAUUUUGAGCAUAGUACCUUGAGGUGUUUCAUGUGGACCAGUGUUUGGAUAGGGCCGCGCAUUGCAGCGAAGUUAUGUGGAAGUAUGAUCAUUCGGGUUAGAUCCAUAUAUUCUGGUUCUACGAUGUGUGAUGGGUUCUCUGCAUUGUGUUGUGAUAGUACUGGUGAGCUUGCGGUAAAGCUUUCUCAUUUGAGUCAUUUUUCCAUUAUUUGAGUACAUUUAGACUGUUGCUUAUUGGUGCGCGGAUUGACAGGUUGUGGAAUUAGAUUGUAUCGAUGUGUCGUGCCACUAGAUUAGUCGUGUUGGAUGAGAUGUUGGAAGGAUAAUAUCGGGAUUCGGCUUAUAUUUACGAUGGUCUUUGCCUAAGGAGAGGGAGCUCCACGACCGAUUGAUCUAAGGAAUGGUUAUGAAUUUCUUCUAGUUUCAUUCAUUAUUGGCAGUGUAUGAAAGUGUUGGAAUAAGGCUUUGGUUUGAUAAGAGGUUUUUUAUCGGAAUUAGGUUAUUUGAGCAGCUGAUGUGAUUAGAAGUUAUCGCUAUGAGUGUUUGAGUUGUGUGGUAUAUUAUGUGAUUUUCAUAUUGAACUGCGGUUAUGGCUUGAUGCAUCUUGUUCGGACUUAUUCAGUGUAGAUAUGAGAUUCUGAUCUUAUAAAUAGUUUCGCAAGUGGAAAAUUGAUUUUAAAGUUAUGUGCUAGGGUGAAUUGUGAAAUUUUAGUUAUGUUGUGUUAUCGGAUCUAUGUGGGAUAGGGUAACGUGGGAUCACCCCCGGGUAUAUGCAUGGUAAGAUUACACAUCGAUUUGAUCGGUUUUGGAACAACUCUGGGCACAUUCGAGGACGAACAUAUGUUUAAGUGGGGAAGAUGUAACGACCUGACCAGUCGUUUUGAGCAAUUGCACUUCGCUUGCCAGUUCUCGUGCAUGACUAGCCUUGUAUGAUGUAUUAUGACUUCUGCAAAUCGUCAGUUUUGGUUUUCAGGAUAAUCAGAAUAUAUUUGAAAGAAUAAUUCUCAGCUUGAAGCUUUAAAUUUGAAAUGUUUGACCAAGUUUUGACUUUUUAGUAUUCGAUCUCGGAAUUUAGAUUUUUAGGAUUUAGUUAGCUUUGUUAUGUGAUUUUGGACUUGGGAGCACGUCCGGAAUAUGAAUUGGAGGUCUAUAGUGGAUUUAGGCUUGAAUUGGCAAAAUUAGAAAUUUAGAGUUUCCGGUCGGCAAUGGAAAUCUUGAUAUCAGGGUCAGAAUGGAAUUUCAGAAGCUGGAGUAAGUUUGUAGUGUCAUUUGUGAAGUGUGUGCAAAAUUUCAAUUCAUUCGGAGGUGAUUUGAUAGGUUUCGGCGUCGCUUGUAGAGUUUGAAAGUUCAUAAGUUCUUAGGCUUGGAUCUGAGGUUGAUUUGCUGUUUUGGCAUUGUUUCGAGUGAUUCGAGGGCUUGAUUAAGUUUGAAUGAUGUUAUAGGAUAUUUUGGCAUGUUUGAUUGAGGUCCCCAGGGCCUCGGGUAUGUUUCGGAUGCCCAAUGGGACAUUUUUGGACUUGAGGAGUAGUAGUUUUGCUGGUAUUUUGUUGCAAACGUUUUGUUCUUUGCGAUCACGUAGAGGAGUUCACGUUCGCGUAGACUUAUUUAGGUAGAUGUGAGAUUUGUUCAAUACGAUCACAGAGUUUAGGACGCGAUCACAAAUGGAUGUGAUGUUGUAUUUCGCAAACGCGUGGCCAGGGUCGCGUUUGCGUAGAAGAGAGUGAGCUGGUGAGAAGUGGAGGGGAUUGUUCUAUGCGAUCGUGUGGGAAAGGCGGCGAUUGCGUGAGUUGGAAAAGUAGUGCUUCGCGAUCGCGUGAGUUUUUUCAUGAUCGCGUAAAGUAAGUUGCAGAGCAGUCCAUUUUUGUGCUUCGCAAUCGCGAGGUAAAUUCUGUGAUCGCGAUGAAGGACAAACACCUAGGCAGAAAGUAUAAAAGGCCAUCUUCGUGAUUUUUAGCUCAUUUCUCACCAUUUUUGGAUAGCUUUGAAGCUUUUUGAGAGAAAUUGAAGAGGGAUUCAAGGGAAAACACUUGGAGUUAAAGUUUUUGAACUCAAUACUCAAUUCUAUGGAAGUUUCUACUGAUUAGCGAUGACAUUAGUGGUAUUGAAGGGCUAAAAUUGAGGGAUUAGGGCUUGAAAUUGGAAAGUUUAAAUUGGGGAUUUGAGGGGCCAUUUGAGGUUUGAUUUUGAUGUUCUUGGUAUGUAUAGACUCGUGGUAGGAUAAGGAUUCUAGUAAUGUGAUUAUUAUCAAAUUUAGAGACGUGGGCCCGGGGUCGGGUUUGGCCAAUUUCGAAAUUUUUGAGUUAAUUUGAUUACUUUUGCUUGUGCUUUGUUCCUUUAGCAUAUAUUGAUGAUAAUAUACUGAUUUUGGUUAGAUUCGGAGCAUUUAGAGGCCGAGUCGAGAGGCAAAGGCAUCGCGGGUUAGAGUUUGGACCGGUUGAGGUAAGUAAUGAUUGUAAAUGUUGUCCCAAGGGUAUGAAACUCUGGAUUUCACAUCGUUUCACUACUUUGAGGUGACGCACAUGCUAGAUGACGAGCGUGGGGUCGUGCAAUGUUGGGAAUUGUGACUUGAUCUGUUUUGUACAACUAUUAUGUUGAGUAAUUGAUUGAAAACUAUUUGGUAUUAUUGUGUUUUGGAAAGUAUUACUGUGCUUUGACUGGAUGCCAUAUUUGGGCGUUGUACUAACUAUUUGGACCCUUAGGGGCUUUCUUUACUGAAAUUCCUCACUGUUAUGAUUUAAUAACUGUACUCAGUCAUGCUAUGUUUUACUGAUUUCAUAACUCAGUCUUAUUUACUCCAUUUUGAUACUUUAAAUGAUAUUUCAACUGAGCAUCCUGUUUUAUUGUAGCCCGGAUGGCUUGAGAGGUAUCUGACCGAGUGAGGCCAAGAGUCUGUGUUGUGAGAAUAUCAUGGGAUCGGUUUGUGCACCGUAACAUAUUGUACUGAUUUGUAAUAUAUGAUAGGCCGAGGGCCUAAUUUAUUAUACCACAAGGAUGUGAGGAUGAGGACCUGAUUGAUUAUGCCACGAGAUGGCUUGUUAUAACGCUUGGGCUGUAGGAGUCCUCUGGAGUUUGAACACCCCCAGUGAGCGUGCAUACCCAGUGUGAGUGAUGUGUAGCCGAUGGGCUUUUAUUGAUUUGUGUUGUGCCCGAGGAACUCAUUAUGAGUGAUUGUGAGAUAGUCCGAGAGGCU
This 19671-nucleotide long non-coding RNA is filed under the name Nicotiana benthamiana. RNAcentral describes it as "long non-coding RNA (NBEN_LNC013822)". The record is from RNAcentral. Lineage: Eukaryota; Viridiplantae; Streptophyta; Magnoliopsida; Solanales; Solanaceae.